Coregonus clupeaformis (lake whitefish) is the source of this 641-nucleotide long non-coding RNA. RefSeq lists it as uncharacterized. The transcript has 5 exons. The record is from RefSeq and is a predicted model, not a curated record. NCBI's taxonomy places the organism in Eukaryota, Metazoa, Chordata, Actinopteri, Salmoniformes, Salmonidae.
UCAACCAAGGCACGUGAGCUCCCUGAUGGGGUGAGUGAAAGAGGAGACCGUGAUCCACAACCCUAAACACAGCACAUUGAGACAAAUCGCUUUUGCAAGAGAGACCUGGACACACUUUGAAACGCACCUUGGGCAACCUUUUCCUCAUGCAAAGACACGCUGUGAACAAACAACGUUGGCCCUCAGGAUUUCCCCGCCACAACAUCCCUGAAGAGACAGUAACUGACAGCCAAAAGCAAAAUAAAGGUUCCUUCUUCCCACUACGUCUGUACAUCAGAUCAUUUCAGGUUCCUUCUUCCCUCUACGUCUGUACAUCAGAUCAUUUCAGGUUCCUUCUUCCCACUACGUCUGUACAUCAGAUCAUUUCAGGUUCCUUCUUCCCACUACGUCUGUACAUCAGAUCAUUUCAGGUUAUGUGAUUGUCGUCUCCACGUCUUCUAAUCUUUGGACUCCAGAACAGUUGAGGUCCCGUUAACAGUUUUCUAAGGACCACAGAAGCAUCUAGGAGGAUAACAACGGGAGAUUUAUCAUCAUUCUGAGUAUAUUUAGAAAAUGUGCCAGCCUUCACUAUUCUUCACUGUGUUCUUGGGGACCUUCAAUGCAGCCAAACAGUUCUGUGCCUCGACACAAUCCUGUCUCGG